This is a non-coding RNA of Cercophora scortea, 130 nucleotides long. NCBI's taxonomy places the organism in Eukaryota, Fungi, Ascomycota, Sordariomycetes, Sordariales, Lasiosphaeriaceae. The record is from the annotation of a GenBank genome assembly.
GGGAAGGUGGCCGAGCGGUCUAAGGCGCCACGUUAGGGAUACCCUUAAUUUCAUUCUCUCUCUCCACCGAUAGAGAGAGCAAAAAUCCGUGGUCUCGUAAGAGGCGUGGGUUCAUAUCCCACUCUUCUCA